UUGGAAUUGGGAAAAACUUUUUACUGAAAAGGUUGUCAAGCAUUGGAACAGACUGUCCAGGGAAGUAGCUGAUUUCACCAUCCCUGGAGGAAUUUGAAGAGUUGUAAAUGUGCAGUUAGGGGAGAUGGUUCAGUAGUGGACUUUCCGGUGCUGGGUUAAUGACUGGAUUUGAUGGAUAUUAACAUCUUUUCCAUGCUAAAUAAUUCUAUGAUUAUUAAUAUUGUUGUGGUAAGUAUUGAGGAUCUGUCUCCAUUUCGUACACAGCGAAUGACGGUAUUUUUACUUUAUCUGCACAGAAAUUACGUGAAAGCACUGUGGCCUCCCUUGUACACCAGCCACCAUUGCUUGGCUAAUCUCUGAUUUGCAAUCAAUUUGUUCCAUGCAUCCUGGUCAUGAGCUAGAGGGUGGCAGGCUCAUGCUCAAAGAAACUCUGAUACCGACUGUGCCUCCCACGCACAAACAUCUUCACUGUACAACUCCAGCCAGCACGUGUGAUCGCUGCAGAAGAGUCUCUGUUAUGUAAGUGACAUGGAGUUUACUCACAAGGUAAAUCAAAAGCAUUGGGAUGGAAUGGGGUAUAGUAGGGAGGAACAAGUGUAGGCUCCAGUCAUUAUCAAAGAAAAUGGAAACAGAACUAAUAAGUUUAAAUAACGAAUGCUGUAAGUGAAUGCCAGUUCCACAAAGUACACAUCUGUAUAGUGAGAAUUCCUUCUAGGCACACAGAGUUUGUAACUGGGCUCACAAGUACUUAAAAAGGUAUUAUGCAUUCUUUUGCCAUAUAAUCAAACAUUUUUGUAUACUUAUUAACAGUGAAACUCUACAGUAACUGAGUAGUCACAAGAUAAACUGUUAAGGUACUCACCUUUGAGUUUGAAGACUUUUAUUCUCUCUUCAAUCAGCUUCUUCUCCUUGAUAUCAAAGUUUUCCUCAUUUGUUUAACCUGCACCUCCAGCUGGCUUAAGAGCUCUCCUUUACCUUGCCACCUCUUUUUCAAUGCGCUGAAAAUAAAAUGCACGUAUUUACAAUGACUAUAAAUACCACUCUUAGGAGGGCAGAAAAAACUUCCAUUUUUCCUCAUUUCUGUGGGUUUUAAUAGCAAGCAAAUACUCUCUGAACAUAGAAUACUUCAGAGCAGUGGUUGCGUACAACGAUCCCAAAGAAUUAUUGUGACUUGUCUGUAUCACCUGUGUGCAUGCCUAAUGUCAUCAAGUUCCACUUCUUUUUCUUCUAGUAGUGCUUUAAUUCCUCUUUUCUUUCAUUCUGCCUUUCUAAUUUUUCCAUUAGCUUUUCACAUUCAGCAGCUUUUUCAUCCAGCUCUACUUCAAACAAUUUCUGAGCUUCACGAUUUUCUUCAUGCUGUUUUCUGAUUUGUUUAUCUUUUUCUUGUAAGCCCUUUAGAAGAUAAAUAUUUUAGUACACAUAAACACUCUUAACUUUAUUGUUACAAUUUAAGAGUAUUUGUUUAGUCUAUGGUGGAAUAAAGCAGAGAAGGACAUGUGAAAAUUUACUCUUCUGAAUGUAUGAAAAACACUUAGUAAAGUGAUAGCCAAUUAAUCAAUCUUCAGCUGAAAAAGUCAGAGUAACAAAAAAAACCCCACCAAAACAAAUCUGAAGUUGAAAGUAAGUUAAGAAAAAAGUUAUUUUGAACUCUUAUUCUACAGUUGAAUAAACAACUUAUUCUUUUGCACAACCUAUUCCACACAGUCCCUGAGUUCACAAUCUGUAAGGAGUAAUGGGUCUAACUUUGACUGACAUAACAUGCUAUAAAUUUUGAUUAAUAAGCUAGUUUUAAGUCUCUUAAUGAAUGAAUGGAAUUAAUAGAACAAAACAUAGUACCUCUGCUGCCAAAAUACUGAUUUACAAGAACAGAAUAAAGAAAAAAACAUUUACAUGUUGUAAAAUAAACAUGAAGCAAUAUUUAAAAUUGUUUUUCCUUUUUCAGGAAGAAUUAUACUAUCUGGGUUUCACCUCUCUCAAAAUCAUUUUCAAGAAUAAUUUGAAGCAAGGCAAAGAGAAUAAAGUCUGUACAUAAGUAUGGUUCAAUGAGAGAUUCAAAGUAGCACUUCUGUACAUGAACAUGAAUUUAAUAAAAAACUCUCUUCUGCUCUCAGUGAAAUGAAUUGCCACUGACAGCUUGAUUGUGAUUUGUGAGUUGAUAAACAAGGACUGCAGGGCCAUCUUUCACUACAGCCUUUACAAUUGCUAAAAUUAAGACUUGCAGUGAAAGUUAAGUAUAAAAAUUGUCAGAUAUGGCACUUACUUCUUUCAAUCUCCUAAUUGUUUCUGUCUGAUCAUCCAGUAUUUUGUUUUUAAUUCUUAUAGUAUCACUGUCCUGUUCCUUUUGCUUUUUUAACAUUUCAAUCUCAUUUGUCAGAACUUCAAUUUUAGCUUCCAGUUUUCCCCGAUCUUGAGCAAGAUGAGCUCCUAGACAAAACAGGAUAUUCAUACUACAGUGCUCGUUUUACAGAUGACUUCAAGAUGUAGAAUGUUGGGAAAUUGGGUGGAGGUGCAGGAAAUAGAUAAGCUGUAUACGCAAUCAACUCCCACAGCUGCUGUUACAGAUCCCAUGUGCCACAGAACAUCUAUUUUUGCACAUCAACUCUACAACUAGAUAAGAGCCAGAAACCUUGUCAUGAUUACAACUGUACUGGAGUGUUUAUUUGAGAGGUCCACUGGUUCACCAGAAAUACCUCUUCCAUCUAGAGCUGUUAGCUGGGGCAACGACUGAAGAACAGUUUCUCUAUAACCUUGAGGAAAAGACCACAUGUAAAUUGAAAUCAAUCUCCCAAGAUGUCUAGUGUAUUUCAGUUACCCUGUCAUCUUAAAUGAUUCAUUGCACUUUUAAUACAAGAAAAAAAGUAGCGAGUUAUCUACAAUUGUCUCAUCUUUCCCCAUCCAUGGCAUUCAACAGAUAACAUUACAAAACUAAAUGAACUUGGAAGCUGUCUGCCUGGUCCUGGCCUACACUGGGAUUUCCCAACCAUCAUCAGCACACUGCAGUUGCACAGACAACCUUUUAAUCUCAGACUACUGCACAAAAACAGUUGUAUCAAAUGGAAGGACAGACAAAUGUAAUGGAAAGGCCAGUUCUGAAACAGCUUAGAUAACUUCUUUGUCAGUGAAUGAAAUAAGGCAUUAUGAAACUGGAAAGCAUUGAAGUUAACUUUCUUUAAAUUAAUGGAAUUUGGGUUUCUGAACAGUGCAGUUUUGAAAGUUAGUGUCACCAAAGACAUAUGAAGAGGUAUGUAAAUACUUGCUGAAGAAAACUACUGGAAUUUUCUGAGUUAUCCAGAUAACUUUAAUAGUCCUGUUACUGUUUCCAUAGUGCCUGAAUGCAUUUGUAAAACAUUUGCUUUUGAAAAUAUUACUUAAAACCUAAUUUGGCUUUCCUCAAUUACCUUUGAGGUUUCUUUCUAACUGUACAUAUAUUACACCUGUAUCAGUUACAUGCCCAUUAUAUAGCUGAUAUUUUGUAUUAUUGCAUUAUUUGUACUGUUCUACUCUUUGUAAUGAAAUUAUCUUUGAGCUCUCCCAGAAGUAUCCAUCUUCUGCUUCUACAGAUUUUCCCUUCUAUAGAUUUUCCCCUCUCAUAUACACAAAGAAAGAAAACAAAAAAAACCCGACACCAAAACAGGAUGCUACAAUUUAACUUGUUUGAAAACAUGGUGUAACAUUUAAAUAGCAAGAAAAACCUACCCCCAAAGCAGAAGCUCUAAGCAACCCAACUGAAAGCGAUAUAUCCACAUGCAAUCUCCAACUUGUCUCCAUGCUGCCUACUAUGUGAAACCCCUGCCUACUAUUUUGAUACAAAUGCUAAUUACUGCAGAGUAUUCUAAGUCUGCCACUACUAACCUUAACCUAAAACAAUAUCAUAGAAUCAUAGAAUGGUUUGGGUUGGAAGGGACCUUAAAGAUCACCCAGUUAUCCAACCCCCUGCCAUGGGCAGGGACAC
Long non-coding RNA from Chiroxiphia lanceolata (lance-tailed manakin), 3952 nucleotides. RefSeq lists it as uncharacterized. The transcript is spliced from 3 exons. NCBI's taxonomy places the organism in Eukaryota, Metazoa, Chordata, Aves, Passeriformes, Pipridae. The record is from RefSeq and is a predicted model, not a curated record.